AAUCAGCGGCCUUGAAAGGCAAAGCUGAACCACUGCUGCUAAAUAUAAUUGUCGCUGUGACAGGUCCAUUGUGGUGAGAAAAUCUGUGCCUUUCAGAGCUGACUCUCUGUUAAAGAACCGUGGUAAAGCCAGAGCUGAGUGCCCAGCCUCCUGGCCAGCAUGGCAGUGGCUUUGAGGAGUGAAGGCCACUCCAUUAACCCUUCUCUCCAUUGCACAGAGCCCUGAUCCUGCCUCACAAGGAUGUCUUUGGCUGUGGCUGGUUUGUUUGCAUUGAGCUAUUCACUGAGAAACAGUGGGAUGUGUCUUCUGUGCACUUUGGCUGAGACUUCCCUCCAGCACAGCUCCUCACUGUGGGUGAUGGCAGCCAGCAGUGCUGAGCACAGCAUGCAGUCCUGCUUGAUGGGAAAUCCUUUCCCGGCCAUGAGGAAGGAAGAGGAGCAUUGCAGGGCUGCUCCGUUGUCUCCAGGACUCUGGAUUUUAGAGCCAUUUGCAGCUCCAACAGCACCCUGUCCUCUCCCCAUCCCAAAAGGUGCCACUUCAGCAUCCGCUUCCCAGCUCUUGGCAGUUACAUGAUGCUAAUUGAAAGGAACCAAAUGUUCUCUUUGGAAGUUCACUACAUCAGUGUUAAUCUUCUAUGUGGAGUAAUUUUAUUAAAGUCCCCCAAAGAGCAAAUUGUAAAUUCAUUUGAGCCUGUUUUGGUCUGCACUCUCCUUUAUUUUGGGUGGGGAAAAGAAAAAAAGAAAAGAAAAAAAGAUUAGAAGUCAUCUGGUCUCCAUGAUAAUUAAAAAGAAGAUGCUCAAACAUAGUUCUUAAUUAAACUGUAAUGAGAUAAGAACUCCACAGACUGCUUUUAGUCUGUUGGAAAGAUGCAGAGGUUCCCAUUGUAAUUAUGUGAUUUAUGAUCUUCCACGCAGAGAUGUAAUUAGGUUUUUUCACCUUUUUUUAAAAUUUAAACAAUAUUUAGAUAAAAAAUGACGCAGCAUUUUGAAUCUGCUUUUCCUGGAGGGACUGAAAAUCAUUUUGAAAUCAUUUUAGGUUUCAGCCUCAAAAAAAGUCCUCUGUAACUGUCAGGCAGCCAAGAGGUGAGAUGUAAAACACAGCCCUGGAGGUUGUGGGAUGCAGUGGGGUGGCAGCAGGAGGUGGGUCAGACACCUGAAGUCAACACAAAAACAUUUCCCUCUGCAUCCUGGGAGUGUUUGUGUUUGCAGGCAAUGCUGUGGACUAACACUGAUCCGUGAUGCUGAUGAGACCCAUAGUUGGUUUGUUUCUGCCCGAUCUUCUCUGAGGAAACAAGGAAAGUGCUCAGCAUGCUUCUACAUGAGAGGUCUCACCUGUGGAAUAAACAUC
This 1347-nucleotide long non-coding RNA is filed under the name Coturnix japonica (Japanese quail). RNAcentral describes it as "lncRNA (ENSCJPG00005017844.1)". The record is from RNAcentral. Lineage: Eukaryota; Metazoa; Chordata; Aves; Galliformes; Phasianidae.